AGCAGCCGCGGUAAUUCCAGCUCCAAUAGCGUAUAUUAAAGUUGUUGCAGUUAAAAAGCUCGUAGUUGAAUUUCGGGGUUAGUAGGUUGGUCAUGCCUCUGGUAUGUACUGGUCUCACUGAUUCCUCCUUCCUGAUGAACCUUAAUGCCAUUAAUUUGGUGUUUUGGGAUUUGGACUGUUACUUUGAAAAAAUUAGAGUGUUUAAAGCAAGCUAACGCUUGAAUACAUUAGCAUGGAAUAAUGAAAUAGGACGUUCGAUCCUAUUUUGUUGGUUUCUAGGAUUGACGUAAUGAUUAAUAGGGAUAGUUGGGGGCAUUAGUAUUCAAUUGUCAGAGGUGAAAUUCUUGGAUUUAUUGAAGACUAACUACUGCGAAAGCAUUUGCCAAGGAUGUUUUCAUUAAUCAAGAACGAAAGUUAGGGGAUCGAAGACGAUCAGAUACCGUCGUAGUCUUAACCAUAAACUAUGCCGACUAGGGAUCGGAUGAUGUUAAUUUUUUAAUGACUCAUUCGGCGCCUUACG
Molecule: ribosomal RNA, 520 nt
Filed under: uncultured Glomeraceae
Lineage: Eukaryota; Fungi; Glomeromycota; Glomeromycetes; Glomerales; Glomeraceae
Description: SSU rRNA
Rfam family: Eukaryotic small subunit ribosomal RNA
Source: RNAcentral